AUUGAACGCUGGCGGCAGGCCUAACACAUGCAAGUCGAACGGAAGCACAGAGAGCUUGCUCUCGGGUGACGAGUGGCGGACGGGUGAGUAAUGUCUGGGAAACUGCCCGAUGGAGGGGGAUAACUACUGGAAACGGUAGCUAAUACCGCAUAACGUCGCAAGACCAAAGUGGGGGACCUUCGGGCCUCACACCAUCGGAUGUGCCCAGAUGGGAUUAGCUAGUAGGUGGGGUAAUGGCUCACCUAGGCGACGAUCCCGAGCUGGUCUGAGAGGAUGACCAGCCACGCUGGAACGGAGACAAGGUCCAGACGCCUACGGGAGGCGGCAGUGGGGAAUAUUGCACAAUGGGCGCAAGCCUGGUGCAGCCAUGCCGCGUGUAUGAAGAAGGCCUUCGGGUUGUAAAGUACUUUCAGCGGGGAGGAAGGCGGUGAAGUUAAUAACUUCACCGAUUGACGUUACCCGCAGAAGAAGCACCGGCUAACUCCGUGCCAGCCGCCGCCGUAA
This 504-nucleotide ribosomal RNA is filed under the name uncultured bacterium. RNAcentral's name for it is "partial 16S ribosomal RNA". It matches the Rfam family "Bacterial small subunit ribosomal RNA", at positions 29 to 523 of the family's 1533-position model. The record is from RNAcentral.